RNAcentral lists this long non-coding RNA (2785 nucleotides) under Nicotiana benthamiana. RNAcentral's name for it is "long non-coding RNA (NBEN_LNC028395)". Lineage: Eukaryota; Viridiplantae; Streptophyta; Magnoliopsida; Solanales; Solanaceae. The record is from RNAcentral.
UUCAACCACAAAACAAAACCAAAAAUUGUUCCAUCACCUCUCAUCUCUCGGGGGCACACACACAUCAAAUAGGUUUUUUCUUUUUUUCCUACCUUUUCCAUUUCCUGUUUCACCUCAUCCCUGUGAUGAGCGACCCCAUCCCAGCCCUUAUUCCUGUUUUCCUUUUCUAUUUUUUCUUUAUUUUGGUUCUUUUAUUUUUUUAGGAUAAACAAUUCAAAGGAGAUCUUGUUGUAAAUUGGUUAUUGUUUAAACAUGGAGAGGUGGGAAACUAGAAUUCCCAUCACCUCACUCAAAUUGGGAGGUCAAACCAUAUACCAAUGGGAUUAAUAGAAGAAACAUAAAAUAUUGCAUACAAGGUAUCUGAUGAAUUGCGUAAAUGAGAUUUUUAAUAGGCUCUGUGAAGUCUGAGUCCAAUGGUAUUAUGAACUUAUCUUGAGGGUGUGGCCAUUUAAGUCUGUUGCGCGUCACUUACAUUCGCUUUGGAUAAAAGUGGAACAGUGGCCGACAUAGGCACAGAAGUGUAAUGCCUUUGUCCUGGGAUUUUUUAUGAGUUACGUGUGCAGCCCGUAGAUUAUAUACACGAUAAAUGUCUGUCUAUAGUUGAGGAACCAUUUGGAGCUGGUGAGCUGGUUGUGGGCGUCGCUAAUACUGGACCUAUGCGGGCUAGAAAGGAUGAGCUGAUAAAUGCAGCUGAUACAUCUAGUGUCACUUUGGAGGACCUAUCAACAUUGAGAACCGAUGGUCUAGGCCGGUCCUCACCGCAACCAGGGUUACUUUCAGGGAGCUUCUGAAACCCACUCUACUUUUGAGCUUUAUUUUGUUUUUUAUGAUCUUGUGUAACUGAGGAUAGUACACAUCCUUAAGUGCGGGGUGGGGAUGUUAGAAUUAUAAUUGUACAAUUGUAGUUAGCUAUUUUAUAUUGGCUUAAUCCUGAGUUUUUUUAAACCACGAUUCUUUCUCGAGAAUGCCAAUUUUCUUUUAACCGGAUAGUAGUUUUUUUAGGUAGAAUUUUCAAAAAUUUUGGACUUUUCUCGACUAUAGAUUUCUUUGACAAUUUUCUUGAGGGAAAGAAGUUAAAAUAAAAUACAAAAAGGUUUUCCUUCUCUUUUAGAAAUGAUAAUGGAAUGAGAAGAACUUGAGUAUCUAUUUUUCUUGACAUGGUUUAUAUCGGGACUUAGAGCUAUAACAUUUGAAUUGAUUAUCUUCUUCAUAUUCAAUGUGUCCACAUGUAUCGAGAAUAUAUGUGACUUUCUUUUGACGCUUAAGUUCAUUUGUCGACUCUUGUGAUUACUUUCCAUAUGUUGAGUUAAUAUGAUGGUUAUGCUUUGUUGUUUAACUUGCAUAUCAGGUCUGAACCAUUCGUAGUGAAUCAUAUGUAUUGCGUAAUGUGAGGCUUGAUUACAUUCUAUGCUAUCUUGUGUUAGUUUAGAACUUAUCCCAUGUGUUAGUCAAAACAAAAUAAGUAAGCUUUGUAAGUCUUGGAGAGGAUGUAGGUGUUUCUUUGAUUGUCUAUUAAGCUAGUAUGCCGUUGUAAAUAAAUUGAUCCUUAGAUAGCCCAUUUAAGCCUAUUAAUCGUUUCUUUGGUAUCCACAUUACAAGCCGAUUUUCUUUUUGUUCUUAAUUAGAUCUUCUGAACCUUUACCUCCGAAAGCACUUAAGUCGCUAGAAGAGUAUGGUGAGAGUUGAGGUAGCUUUUGAGUGGAACCACAGAAAGGCCAAAAUGUGCACGUAUAUUUAGAAAGAUCAUUAGCCGGGUAAUCCAAGUGGAGAAUGUUGGGGAAAAAAGAGAAACCCAGAUGCUCCGGUAUGGAGGUUUGGGCAUCUUGUUGUGGAGGGCACGAAAAGAGGUAGAGGGAAACCUAAGAAGUAUUGGGGAGAGGUGAUCAGGCAGGAAAUUGCGAGGCUUCAGAUUUUCGAGGACAUGACACUUGAUAGGAAGAUGUGGAAGGUGGAGUAUUAGGGUUGUAGGUUAGGAGAUAGUUGAAUCUUGCCUUACUUCGUACUUUUGUGAGACUAGUCUGGUAGGGUUUUUAUCUAAGAUAGCUGGUGGCAAUGUUGUAUCUUACUAUCGCUUUUACUUAGCAUCUUUCUUUAGGAUAUCAUAUUGUUAAUAUUUUUCCUAUGGUUUCUAUGGUGAUACUGAUAUGUCUCCUUUUGUCUUUUUGUUUUCUUGAGUCGAGGGUCUUUCGAGAAUAACCUUUCAACUUCUUCGGAAUAGGGGUAAAGUCUACGUACACAUUACCCUGUCCAGACCUCACUAAUAGAAUUUUACUAGAUUGUUGCUGUUAUUGCAUCUCUCAUACAUAUAUAUCUAAAAGUUAGAUCCACCUCGUGACUAGAUGACAUUACAUUCGUCCAGGCGUGGUGCUUCAGUCUCCUUACCUACAGGACUUGAGCAUACAAAACAAAACCAUGUCCUUUAAAUUAUAUUGGGGUUACGUAUUUUAUUUGUAUAUGUUUGCUGCGUGACUUUUAUGCCUUAAUAUUCUUCUUCUGAACUUCACACGCAAGCCACCUGAAGAGGAAAUGGCCCCUUAGAUGAGACGACCAUGUCCAUCAAUCUCCCAUUUGGAUUUGGCCAUAUCCCCCCAACUAGUUUAUGAUAGCCAAUUUUUCAUACUGCUUCCUCUAGCUUUAUGUUCUCAAUGAAACACUAUUGUAGAACGUCUUUCCAAACUCACGUCAACUUAUAGAUUGCAACAACAACCAUAAGUAUUAUCCUAUGUUGUGGGGUUUGAAAAGUAUAGUAUGUGUGCAAAUCUUAUUUCUAUAUUGUAAGGAUAAA